UUAAAAUAAAGCGAUAAAUUGCGUUCAGUUUCGGCCUGAAUUUAGAAAUCUUCUAUUUUUUAAU
Molecule: transfer RNA, 64 nt
Filed under: Amblyomma cajennense (Cayenne tick)
Lineage: Eukaryota; Metazoa; Arthropoda; Arachnida; Ixodida; Ixodidae
Also listed under: 1 other name
Description: tRNA-Arg
Source: RNAcentral